GGGGUUGCGCCGAGUUGGCCCGAGGCAUCGGUUCGGGUCGUCCUUGGGAGAAGGUCAGGGGUUCGAAUCCCCUCAGCUCCA
This 81-nucleotide transfer RNA is filed under the name Geodermatophilaceae bacterium. RNAcentral describes it as "tRNA-OTHER". Lineage: Bacteria; Bacillati; Actinomycetota; Actinomycetes; Geodermatophilales; Geodermatophilaceae. The record is from RNAcentral.